ACGUUAGCGGCGGACGGGUGAGUAACACGUGGGUAACCUACCUAUAAGACUGGGAUAACUUCGGGAAACCGGAGCUAAUACCGGAUAAUAUUUCGAACCGCAUGGUUCGAUAGUGAAAGAUGGUUUUGCUAUCACUUAUAGAUGGACCCGCGCCGUAUUAGUCUAGUUGGUAAGGUAACGGCUUACCAAGGCGACGAUACGUAGCCGACCUGAGAGGGUGAUCGGCCACACUGGAACUGAGACACGGUCCAGACUCCUACGGGAGGCAGCAGCU
This 274-nucleotide ribosomal RNA is filed under the name uncultured Staphylococcus sp. RNAcentral's name for it is "partial 16S ribosomal RNA". It matches the Rfam family "Bacterial small subunit ribosomal RNA", at positions 89 to 355 of the family's 1533-position model. Lineage: Bacteria; Bacillati; Bacillota; Bacilli; Caryophanales; Staphylococcaceae. The record is from RNAcentral.